RNAcentral lists this long non-coding RNA (600 nucleotides) under Nicotiana benthamiana. RNAcentral's name for it is "long non-coding RNA (NBEN_LNC026544)". Lineage: Eukaryota; Viridiplantae; Streptophyta; Magnoliopsida; Solanales; Solanaceae. The record is from RNAcentral.
UCAAUUAUACAUGACAUCAAAUUACAUGAUUCUAGUAAACACUACUAAUUAAACUAUAUAUCCUUUAAGAUACAAAAUAACUAAAUGAACAUAGAACUUUAAACAUCAUUUUUCAUUCAUGCUUCGAAUUUCAGCUACAUUGAACCAGUGUAUCGAAUAUGCGUACCUAGUAUUUGGAAAACAAAUAAGAGAGGAAGAUCAGUGAUGAAUAGAGCAGUAGCACAGCAACAACAGCAGUAUACCAACAACAAUAGCAAUGAACCAAUGACAGUAGAUAACCCAGGAAGGAUUUAAAAUAAAAAAGGACCCUUAAGGAAAUCGAAUGCAAUUUCCAGAAAAUCCAAAACAGCAACCUUAAGUAUAGGACAAUUAUCCCAAAACCAAAAGCAACUCAACAACAAUAGAUCAGGGAUGCCAAAGCUCAGAACCAAAUUUGAAAACCCAAACGACCAACUUGGGAAGAAACCAAAUGAAGACCCAUCAAUAACCUAGAACAAUAAACUUUGAUUUCUAUUUAUUCAAACUCUCAAGGACUGAACCUAAUUGGAAAAUUUGGCAUGUAUUUCACUCAAACUCUCUGAACUUCCUAUGUUAAAAAUA